AGAGUUUGAUCCUGGCUCAGAUUGAACGCUGGCGGCAUGCCUUACACAUGCAAGUCGAACGGCAGCACGGGAGCAAUCCUGGUGGCGAGUGGCGAACGGGUGAGUAAUAUAUCGGAACGUGCCCAGUCGUGGGGGAUAACGUAGAGAAAUUUACGCUAAUACCGCAUACGAUCUACGGAUGAAAGCGGGGGACUCGCAAGGGCCUCGCGCGACUGGAGCGGCUGAUAUCAGAUUAGGUUGUUGGUGAGGUAAAAGCUCACCAAGCCGACGAUCUGUAGCUGGUUUGAGAGAACGACCAGCCACACUGGGACUGAGACACGGCCCAGACUCCUACGGGAGGCAGCAGUGGGGAAUUUUGGACAAUGGGCGCAAGCCUGAUCCAGCAAUGCCGCGUGCAGGAAGAAGGCCUUCGGG
This 414-nucleotide ribosomal RNA is filed under the name uncultured bacterium. RNAcentral describes it as "bacterial SSU rRNA". It matches the Rfam family "Bacterial small subunit ribosomal RNA", at positions 8 to 422 of the family's 1533-position model. The record is from RNAcentral.